AUUGAACGCUGGCGGCAGGCCUAACACAUGCAAGUCGAGCGGAAACGAUGGAAGCUUGCUUCCAGGCGUCGAGCGGCGGACGGGUGAGUAAUGCAUGGGAAUCUGCCCAAUAGUGGGGGAUAACCUGGGGAAACCCAGGCUAAUACCGCAUACGUCCUACGGGAGAAAGCAGGGGAUCUUCGGACCUUGCGCUAUCGGAUGAGCCCAUGUCGGAUUAGCUUGUUGGUGAGGUAAUGGCUCACCAAGGCGACGAUCCGUAGCUGGUCUGAGAGGAUGAUCAGCCACAUCGGGACUGAGACACGGCCCGAACUCCUACGGGAGGCAGCAGUGGGGAAUAUUGGACAAUGGGCGAAAGCCUGAUCCAGCCAUGCCGCGUGUGUGAAGAAGGCCCUCGGGUUGUAAAGCACUUUCAGUGGGGAAGAAAGCCUUGGGAUUAAUACUCCCGAGGAAGGACAUCACCCACAGAAGAAGCACCGGCUAACUCCGUGCCAGCAGCCGCGGUAAUACGGAGGGUGCGAGCGUUAAUCGGAAUUACUGGGCGUAAAGCGCGCGUAGGCGGUCUGAUAAGCCGGUUGUGAAAGCCCCGGGCUCAACCUGGGAACGGCAUCCGGAACUGUCAGGCUAGAGUGCAGGAGAGGAAGGUAGAAUUCCCGGUGUAGCGGUGAAAUGCGUAGAGAUCGGGAGGAAUACCAGUGGCGAAGGCGGCCUUCUGGACUGACACUGACGCUGAGGUGCGAAAGCGUGGGUAGCAAACA
RNAcentral lists this ribosomal RNA (755 nucleotides) under uncultured Halomonas sp. Its description in RNAcentral is "bacterial SSU rRNA". It matches the Rfam family "Bacterial small subunit ribosomal RNA", at positions 28 to 774 of the family's 1533-position model. The record is from RNAcentral. Lineage: Bacteria; Pseudomonadati; Pseudomonadota; Gammaproteobacteria; Oceanospirillales; Halomonadaceae.